UACAGAGGGGGCGAGCGUUGUUCGGAAUUACUGGGCGUAAAGGGCGCGUAGGCGGCCUCCUAAGUCGAACGUGAAAUCCCCGGGCUCAACCCGGGAACUGCGUCGGAUACUGGAUGGCUUGAAUUCGGGAGAGGGAUGCAGAAUUCCAGGUGUAGCGGUGAAAUGCGUAGAUAUCUGGAGGAAUACCGGUGGCGAAGGCGGCAUCCUGGACCGACAUUGACGCUGAUGAGCGAAAGCUAGGGGAGCAAACGGG
Molecule: ribosomal RNA, 253 nt
Filed under: uncultured bacterium
Lineage: Bacteria
Description: partial 16S ribosomal RNA
Rfam family: Bacterial small subunit ribosomal RNA
Source: RNAcentral